Molecule: ribosomal RNA, 468 nt
Filed under: uncultured bacterium
Lineage: Bacteria
Description: partial 16S ribosomal RNA
Rfam family: Bacterial small subunit ribosomal RNA
Source: RNAcentral
GACGAACGCUGGCGGCGUGCUUAACACAUGCAAGUCGAACGGAAAGGCCCUGCUUUUGUGGGGUGCUCGAGUGGCGAACGGGUGAGUAACACGUGAGUAACCUGCCCUUGACUUUGGGAUAACUUCAGGAAACUGGGGCUAAUACCGGAUAGGAGCUCCUGCUGCAUGGUGGGGGUUGGAAAGUUUCGGCGGUUGGGGAUGGACUCGCGGCUUAUCAGCUUGUUGGUGGGGUAGUGGCCUACCAAGGCUUUGACGGGUAGCCGGCCUGAGAGGGUGACCGGCCACAUUGGGACUGAGAUACGGCCCAGAAUCCUACGGGAGGCAGCAGUGGGGAAUAUUGCACAAUGGGCGGAAGCCUGAUGCAGCAACGCCGCGUGCGGGAUGACGGCCUUCGGGUUGUAAACCGCUUUCGCCUGUGACGAAGCGUGAGUGACGGUAAUGGGUAAAGAAGCACCGGCUAACUACGUG